Molecule: long non-coding RNA, 1048 nt
Organism: Pteropus alecto (black flying fox)
Lineage: Eukaryota; Metazoa; Chordata; Mammalia; Chiroptera; Pteropodidae
Exons: 3
Source: RefSeq, a predicted model, not a curated record
UUGGCCCUGGGCCCGCGGCUUCUGUGGGAGCAGGCUGGCGGGCCGAGUGCAGCCAGCAGGCUCUGCGGAGAGUCGCAUUGGAGUUUGGGGGCUGCCGAAGCUUUUGUUUGUCAGGAAACCAGGAACGCGCGAGGGGCGGGCUCCUGCCGUCCUCCCGGGAUUCCUUAGCUGUGGGGGAAAAGGGGGUUGUCCAGCCCCGCCAGGGGACCUAGGACGGAAAAGCGACUGGGAACUCCUCGCGCCCCAUAGCGCUCUACCCACGUGGUGCUGCCUGGGACAAAGGGCCUCAGAGGAGAAGAGAUUCGCUUUACUCCAGAGAUGUACCUCCUUUUACCUACUUAACCUACUAGUCAGUCGAAAAGCACCUGAGUAAAGAUGGAGGUUAGGAAAGGUGGCAGCUGCACCAAGAAAGGAGGGUAUGAAGCACAUGGCCCAGGUUUAAAGGUCUUGAUUCCCAAAGGGAGAACAUUUCUACCCAGAAGCACAGAAAGAGUCUUCAACUGAACUUUAAGCUGUACAACCAGGCACUUUGGGCCCCUCAUGCCAACACCAGCGGGCAAGAAAAAGAUCCUGGUGGGGCUAAUUGACUCCUUAUCAUCAAGAGGAAGUAGAGCUACUGUUAUACAGUAGAGGCUGAGAAACAUAUGUUUGGCAACCAGAUAAUCAACUUGGACAUCUUAGUACUGUCUUGUGCAAUUUUGAUGACAAAUGGCCACGUGCAGCAGGUGAAGCCUGAGAUUUUUGACAGUCUGAGCCACUUCACUAGGAAAAGAGGCCCACCAGCAUCCUGGAGGAGCUACUCCCAGGACUCAUGAAGAAAGUGGAUCUGCGUGGCACAAGGCAUGGACCAUCCUGGAAUGCCAUACUGCCCUGCCUAGACCAUAGCCAUCAGCCCUCUUAGGAAUUGCUUCAGCAAAAGAGAGCUGUUUUGUUCAAAGUCAGGCUCCCUUCUGGACAGCCAACAUCCACUAACUGAUGCUCAAUCCUCUUUCCUUUUAUUCAACAGGUGUUGAUUAGAGUACUCUCUAAUAAAAUUCCUAUGUGCUGA